This 176-nucleotide unclassified non-coding RNA is filed under the name uncultured Blumeria. Its description in RNAcentral is "sequence contains ITS1". The record is from RNAcentral. Lineage: Eukaryota; Fungi; Ascomycota; Leotiomycetes; Helotiales; Erysiphaceae.
CAGAGCGUGAUGCUAUGCAGAACUUGUUCUGUGUAGCUGACCCUCCACCCGUGUCGAUUAUCUCAUGUUGCUUUGGCGGAUCGGGCUUGCCCGCGCCCACUUUGGUGGGAGUUAUCCGCCAGGGAAGACCAAAACUCUCGUUAUCAGUGAUGUCUGAGGAUGAUAUAAAAUCAUGA